Molecule: long non-coding RNA, 2917 nt
Filed under: Homo sapiens (human)
Lineage: Eukaryota; Metazoa; Chordata; Mammalia; Primates; Hominidae
Description: HSALNT0059158
Source: RNAcentral
UAAAUGCAGUGUAUAAACCAUUCAUACAUUUUGUAGGAAGUAUAAAAACUAUCAAAAAUUAAUAACUUCACAAGUUUUUAAGAUAUAUAAAAGAUAUAUAAAUAAUAUAAAAAUACAAUAUAAAAAGAUAUAAGUAGAAACAACAAAAAAGUCACAAAGCAGGGGUAAUGGAGUAGAAAUCUAGUGUUUUUUGCCAGGCGUGGUGGCUCACGCCUGUAAUCCCAGCAUUUUGGGAGGCCAAGACGGGUGGAUCACCUGAGAUCAGGAGUUUGCUACCAGUCUGACCAACGUGGAGAAACCCCGUCUGUACUAAAAAUACAAAAUUAGCCAGCGUGGUGGCGCAUGCUUGUAAUCCCAGCUACUCGGGAGGCUGAGGCAGGAGAAUUGCUUGAACCUGGGAGGUGGAGGCUUCAGUGAGCCAAGAGCACACCAUUGCACUCCAGCCUGGGCAACAAGAGAAAAACUCUGUCUUAAAAAAAAAAAAAAAAAAAAAAAAAAAAAAGAAGAAGAAGAAAGAAAGGAAAAAAAGAAAUUCAGUGGUUUUUUUUCUACCUUUCUCAUUGCUUCUUUGUAUUUUCUUUGUAAUCAGAGUGGAGCUGUCAUUAGUUUAAAAUAAUUGGUUAUAAGAUGUUAUUUGCCAGCCUCAUGGUGACCACAAAACAAAAACCUAUAAUACAUACGCAAAAAUAAAAAGUUAGAAAUUAAACCAUGCUCCCAGAGAAAAUCACCUUUAAACAAAGAAAGACAAGCAGAGAAAGAGAGGAGGAGAGGAACAACAAAACAAUGAGAAAACAAAUAACAAAAUGGCAAUAGUAAGUCUUUAUCAAUAAUAGCACUAAAUACAAAUGGACUAAAUUAUUCAAUCAAAACAGUGGUGAAUACAUAAAAAAGACCUAAUGAUGUAGUGCCUACAAGAAACUCACUUUUUCUAUAAAGACAUACAUAGACUGAAAAUAAGGAGGUGGAAAAGAUAUUCCAUGCAAAUGAAAGAUAAAGAGCAAAAGUGACUAUAUUAUAUUAGACAAAAUAGAUUUCAAUUUUUAAAAAAUUGAAAUCAAGUAUCUUUUCUGACCACAAUUAAAUAAAACUAGAAAUCAAUAACAAGAGGAACUGUGGAAACUAUACAAACACACGGGAAAUAAACAAUAUGCUCCUGAAUAACCACUUUAUCAAUGAAAAAAUUAAAAAGGAAAUGUAUUAUUUUUGGAAACAAAUGAAAAUAGAAACACAACAUACCAAAACUUACGGGAUACAACAAAAGCAGGGAAGCUUAUAGCAGUAAAUGCAUACAUAAAAAAGUAGAAAAACUUUAAAUAGACAACGAAACAAUGUGUCAUAAAGAGCUAUAAAAGCAAGAGCAAACCAAACUCAAAAUUAGUAGAAGAAGAGAAAUAAUAAAGAUCAGAGCAUAAAUAAAUAAAAUUUAAAAAAGUGUGAAAGGGCAAAAAAAUGAAAAGUUGGUUUUUUGAAAUGGUAAACAAAAUCAACAAACCUAUAGCCAGAGUAAGAAAAAAAAGUAAAGAACCAAAUAAAUAAAGUCAUAGAUGAAAAAGGAGACAACUAAUAACACAGAAAUUCAAAGGAUUAUUAGAGACUAUUAUGAGUCAACACAUAAAUAAAUAAAUGCAAAUACAUUGGAAAACCUAGAAGAAAUUAAUAAAUUCCUAGACACAUACAACCUACCAAGUUUGAAUAAUGAAAAAAUCCAAAACUUGAACAGACCAAUAACAAGUAACAAGAUUGAAUCAGUAGUAGAAAGUUUUCCAUCAAAGAAAAGCCCGGGACCUGAUAGCUCCAGUGCAGAAUUCUACCAACCAUUUAAUGAAGAAUUAUUACCAAUUCUACUCAAACUAUUCUAAAAAAUGAAGGAGGAGGAGAUACUUCUAAAUCCAUCCUAUGAAGCCAGGAUUGCCUCAAUACGAAAACCAGACAAAGACAUGACAAACAAAAGAAAACUAUCAAUACCCCUGAUGAACAUACAUACAAAAAUCUUCAAGAAAAUAUUAGCAAACCACAUUCAACAACACAUUAAAGAUAUCAUUCAUCAUGACCAAGUGGGAUUCAUCCCACAGUGAUUAGUAUAUGCAAAUACAUCAGUGUGAUACUUUAUAUCAAUGGAAUGAAGGAUAAAAAACAUGAUCCAAAAUUCAACAUCCUUUCAUGGUAAAACCUCUCAAAAAAAAUAGCGAAUAGAGAGAACACUAUAAAAGCCAUAUACAAUACAACCCCAGCUAGUAUCAUACUGAAUGAGGAAAAACUUAAAGGCCUUUCUUUAAAGUCUGAAACAAGAAGGCUAUCCACUUUCACCACUUUUAUUCAACAUAGUACUUGAAGUCCUAGUCAGAGCAAUUAGACAAGAAAAAGAAAUAUAGGACACUCAAAUUGAAAAGAACUGUUAAAAAUGUUAAAUGUUACAAUGCUUAUACUACCCAAAGCAAUCUAUAGAUUCAAGGCAAUCCCUAUCAAACUACCAAUGAGAUUUCUCAAAUAAAUUUUUUAAAAUCCUAAAAUUUAUAUGGAACCACAAAAGACCCAAAAUAUUCAAAGCUAUCCUGAGCAAAAAGAACUAAGUUGGAGGAAUUACAUUACCUGACUUCAAAUUAUGCUAUGGAGCUAUAGUAAUCCAAACAGCAGGGUACUGGCAUAAAAACAGACACAUAGGCCAAUAGGACAGAAUAUAAAAUACAGAAAUAAAUGCAUGCAUUUACAUUUAAUUCAUUUUCAACAAAGAUGGUAAGAACAUACACUGGGGAAAGGGCAGUCUCUUCAGUAAAUUGGCUGGGAAAACUUAUCCAUAUCUAGAAGAGUGAAACUACGCCCCUAUCUUUCACUGCAUACAAAAAUCAAAUCAAAGUGGAUUAAUGACGUAAAUCUAAGACCUGAAACUUUAAAACUACCAGAAGAAAACUUUAGUGAG